This 336-nucleotide ribosomal RNA is filed under the name Badhamia albescens. RNAcentral describes it as "bacterial SSU rRNA". It matches the Rfam family "Eukaryotic small subunit ribosomal RNA", at positions 80 to 350 of the family's 1831-position model. Lineage: Eukaryota; Evosea; Eumycetozoa; Physariida; Physaraceae. The record is from RNAcentral.
UCUGAAUCUGCGAACGGCUCCGCAUACCAGUUGUAAACCAUAGCGAGCAAACCGUGACGGCGUCGCAAGGCAUCGUCGCGGUUAAUAAGGAUAACCCUGGUAAUUCUGAGGCUAAUACAAGAACGUACAACCCGCCCGACCCGCAAGGGAAGGGGGGGGAAUGUGUGACCAGGCACGCAAAUUCGAAACUGGGAGUGGCCACACGUUCAGACCGCCAUACCAAACAGUCGCUCGCUUCGAAAGUCCUCGUGACGAGUAGCGGUGGGUUUCUGGGCGGCUCUCGCUGUGUGCUUCUGACCUAUCAACUAGAUGGCAGCGUAACGGACAUGCUAUGGU